UACUUCCCACUAGUUUUCUUCUUCAUUUUUUUUCUCUCUCUCUCCAAUUCUAGGGUUUCUAAUUUUCUCUCUCUCUCUAAAAAAAAACUCUACUAAUUGGUAGCAUGCUUUAACAAGAAUCAAGUAAUAACAUAGCUUGAAAGACUUUGCAACUACCAAAAGGAAAAUUUAAGAGUUAUAACGAGAGAAUGUCUUGUUCGAGUAGCAGCUCCUCGAAUCCUCCCUGUGCAGCUUGUAAAUUUUUGCGAAGAAAGUGUUUACCAGGUUGCAUAUUUUGUCCUUAUUUUCCACCAGAAGAUCCACAAAAAUUUUCAAAUGUACACAAAAUAUUUGGUGCAAGCAAUGUAAGUAAACUUCUGAAUGAAAUUGAAGCUCAUCAAAGAGAAGACGCGGUGAAUUCUCUUGCUUAUGAAGCUGAAGCGCGCAUGAAAGAUCCAGUUUAUGGUUGUGUUGGAGCUAUUUCUGUCCUACAAAGACAAGUUAUACGGCUUCAGAAAGAACUGGAUGCUACCAAUGCUGAUUUGAUGAGAUAUGCUAAUGCUAAUUAUGGGACAAAUAAUUAUGGACUUUAUAAUAAUAAUAAUAAUACUACAUGGAACAAUAACCCUAACCCUCAGCCUGAUGAUGAUAUACACUAGCAUCUCCCAAUUAUCAUAUCUAUGAAUUGUGUAAUCCUACCUAUAUAUAUACUUACUUACUUACUUGUUCAUCAUUUAUAUUAAUUAAUAAUAAUUACUCCGUCUGUAUUGUGUACAAAAACUCAAUAAUUAUAUGUGAUUUGGGUAUUGUUAA
Solanum lycopersicum (tomato) is the source of this 792-nucleotide RNA transcript. RefSeq lists it as uncharacterized. The record is from RefSeq and is a predicted model, not a curated record. NCBI's taxonomy places the organism in Eukaryota, Viridiplantae, Streptophyta, Magnoliopsida, Solanales, Solanaceae.